RNAcentral lists this ribosomal RNA (243 nucleotides) under Escherichia coli. RNAcentral describes it as "partial 16S ribosomal RNA". It matches the Rfam family "Bacterial small subunit ribosomal RNA", at positions 1 to 240 of the family's 1533-position model. The record is from RNAcentral. Lineage: Bacteria; Pseudomonadati; Pseudomonadota; Gammaproteobacteria; Enterobacterales; Enterobacteriaceae. RNAcentral also lists the same sequence under 1 other name.
AAAUUGAAGAGUUUGAUCAUGGCUCAGAUUGAACGCUGGCGGCAGGCCUAACACAUGCAAGUCGAACGGUAACAGGAAGCAGCUUGCUGCUUCGCUGACGAGUGGCGGACGGGUGAGUAAUGUCUGGGAAACUGCCUGAUGGAGGGGGAUAACUACUGGAAACGGUAGCUAAUACCGCAUAACGUCGCAAGACCAAAGAGGGGGACCUUCGGGCCUCUUGCCAUCGGAUGUGCCCAGAUGGGA